UGGCCGGAAGCCUAGCCCUUUUAGGCUAGCCGGGGGACAUCUGUCCCCGGGUCCGCGCUCGCCGAAGACACCUUAAAAACUCUGUCUGAAGAUGUAGUCUGAGAUAACUUUCAACAACGGAUCUCUUGGUUCCGGCAUCGAUGAAGAACGCAGCGAAAUGCGAUACGUAAUGUGAAUUGCAGAAUUCAGUGAAUCAUCGAGUCUUUGAACGCACAUUGCGCCCUCUGGUAUUCCGGAGGGCAUGCCUGUCCGAGCGUCAUUGCUGCCCUCAAGCACGGCUUGUGUGUUGGGCUCCGUCCUCCUUCCGGGGGACGGGCCCGAAAGGCAGCGGCGGCACCGCGUCCGGUCCUCAGCGUAUGGGGCUUUGUCACCCGCUUUGUAGGAUUGGCGGCGCCUGCGAUCAACCAAACUUUUCCAGGUGGACUCCGGAUCAGGUAGGGAUACCCGCUGAACUUAAGCAUUUCAUAAGCGGAAGGAAAAGAGACCACCGGGAUUGCCCCAGUACCGCCGAAUGGAAGCGUCAUUGCUCAGAUUUUACAGCUGGGUCUCUUCGGUCCCC
RNAcentral lists this ribosomal RNA (559 nucleotides) under Penicillium sp. 6 BRM-2015. Its description in RNAcentral is "eukaryotic LSU rRNA". The stretch from base 106 to 259 matches the Rfam family "5.8S ribosomal RNA". Lineage: Eukaryota; Fungi; Ascomycota; Eurotiomycetes; Eurotiales; Aspergillaceae. The record is from RNAcentral.